UACGUAGGGGGCUAGCGUUGUCCGGAAUUACUGGGCGUAAAGCGUGCGUAGGUGGUGAGUUAAGUCUGUCGUGAAAGCCCCGGGCUCAACCUGGGAAUGGCGAUGGAUACUGGCUCGCUAGAGUGCGGUAGAGGAGAGUGGAAUUCCCGGUGUAGCAGUGAAAUGCGUAGAGAUCGGGAGGAACAUCAGUUGCGAAGGCGGCUCUCUGGACCAGCACUGACACUGAGGCACGAAAGCGUGGGGAGCAAACAGG
This 253-nucleotide ribosomal RNA is filed under the name uncultured bacterium. RNAcentral describes it as "partial 16S ribosomal RNA". It matches the Rfam family "Bacterial small subunit ribosomal RNA", at positions 524 to 776 of the family's 1533-position model. The record is from RNAcentral.